RNAcentral lists this small nucleolar RNA (147 nucleotides) under Castor canadensis (American beaver). RNAcentral describes it as "Small nucleolar RNA SNORA57 (ENSCCNG00000010837.1)". It matches the Rfam family "Small nucleolar RNA SNORA57". From Rfam's summary of the family: U99 belongs to the H/ACA class of snoRNAs which are thought to guide the sites of modification of uridines to pseudouridines, the target for this family is unknown. Lineage: Eukaryota; Metazoa; Chordata; Mammalia; Rodentia; Castoridae. The record is from Rfam by way of RNAcentral.
CCUCCUUUUCUUGGCGGGGACUGGGUGUGUGGUCCCACUUCCCGUUAUGUACGGAGGCAGAAGGAAAGGGUUCCGUCUCUCGGUGCCAUGUCUUCGGUGCCAGCGGCUUCCCAUUCGCCGGUUCUAUCCUCAAACGCCGAGACGCGG